RNAcentral lists this transfer RNA (85 nucleotides) under Pseudomonadota bacterium. RNAcentral describes it as "Proteobacteria bacterium tRNA-Leu". It matches the Rfam family "tRNA". Rfam says of the family: Transfer RNA (tRNA) molecules are approximately 80 nucleotides in length. Lineage: Bacteria; Pseudomonadati; Pseudomonadota. The record is from RNAcentral. RNAcentral also lists the same sequence under 1 other name.
GCGGUCGUGGCGGAACUGGCAGACGCACUGGAUUUAGGUUCCAGCGCCGCGAGGCGUGAGAGUUCGACCCUCUCCGACCGCACCA